RNAcentral lists this ribosomal RNA (198 nucleotides) under uncultured bacterium. Its description in RNAcentral is "partial 16S ribosomal RNA". It matches the Rfam family "Bacterial small subunit ribosomal RNA", at positions 328 to 539 of the family's 1533-position model. The record is from RNAcentral.
ACGCUCGACACCUACGGGAGGCAGCAGUGGGGAAUAUUGCACAAUGGGGGAAACCCUGAUGCAGCGACGCCGCGUGAGCGAAGAAGUAUUUCGGUAUGUAAAGCUCUAUCAGCAGGGAANAAACUGACGGUACCUGACUAAGAAGCACCGGCUAAAUACGUGCCCGCAGCCGCGGUAAUCUGAGCGGGCUGGCAAGGC